AGCUUGCUUCUCUGAUGUUAGCGGCGGACGGGUGAGUAACACGUGGAUAACCUACCUAUAAGACUGGGAUAACUUCGGGAAACCGGAGCUAAUACCGGAUAAUAUUUUGAACCGCAUGGUUCAAAAGUGAAAGACGGUCUUGCUGUCACUUAUAGAUGGAUCCGCGCUGCAUUAGCUAGUUGGUAAGGUAACGGCUUACCAAGGCAACGAUGCAUAGCCGACCUGAGAGGGUGAUCGGCCACACUGGAACUGAGACGCGGUCCAGACUCCUACGGGAGGCAGCAGUAGGGAAUCUUCCGCAAUGGGCGAAAGCCUGACGGAGCAACGCCGCGUGAGUGAUGAAGGUCUUCGGAUCGUAAAACUCUGUUAUUAGGGAAGGACAUAUGUGUAAGUAACUGUGCACAUCUUGACGGUACCUAAUCAGAAAGCCACGGCUAACUACGUGCCAGCAGCCGCGGUAAUACGUAGGUGGCAAGCGUUAUCCGGAAUUAUUGGGCGUAAAGCGCGCGUAGGCGGUUUUUUAAGUCUGAUGUGAAAGCCCACGGCUCAACCGUGGAGGGUCAUUGGAAACUGGAAAACUUGAGUGCAGAAGAGGAAAGUGGAAUUCCAUGUGUAGCGGUGAAAUGCGCAGAGAUAUGGAGGAACACCAGUGGCGAAGGCGACUUUCUGGUCUGUAACUGACGCUGAUGUGCGAAAGCGUGGGGAUCAAACAGGAUUAGA
This 720-nucleotide ribosomal RNA is filed under the name uncultured Staphylococcus sp. Its description in RNAcentral is "bacterial SSU rRNA". It matches the Rfam family "Bacterial small subunit ribosomal RNA", at positions 77 to 782 of the family's 1533-position model. The record is from RNAcentral. Lineage: Bacteria; Bacillati; Bacillota; Bacilli; Caryophanales; Staphylococcaceae.